RNAcentral lists this ribosomal RNA (697 nucleotides) under uncultured bacterium. RNAcentral's name for it is "bacterial SSU rRNA". It matches the Rfam family "Bacterial small subunit ribosomal RNA", at positions 9 to 699 of the family's 1533-position model. The record is from RNAcentral.
GAGUUUGAUCAUGGCUCAGAUUGAACGCUGGCGGCAUGCCUUACACAUGCAAGUCGAACGGCAGCACGGGAGCAAUCCUGGUGGCGAGUGGCGAACGGGUGAGUAAUAUAUCGGAACGUGCCCAGUCGUGGGGGAUAACGCAGCGAAAGCUGUGCUAAUACCGCAUACGAUCUCUGGAUGAAAGCGGGGGACUCGCAAGAGCCUCGCGCGAUUGGAGCGGCCGAUAUCAGAUUAGCUAGUUGGCGGGGUAAAGGCCCACCAAGGCGACGAUCUGUAGCUGGUCUGAGAGGACGACCAGCCACACUGGAACUGAGACACGGUCCAGACUCCUACGGGAGGCAGCAGUGGGGAAUUUUGGACAAUGGGCGCAAGCCUGAUCCAGCAAUGCCGCGUGCAGGAUGAAGGCCUUCGGGUUGUAAACUGCUUUUGUACGGAACGAAACGGCGAGCUCUAAUAAAGCUUGCUAAUGACGGUACCGUAAGAAUAAGCACCGGCUAACUACGUGCCAGCAGCCGCGGUAAUACGUAGGGUGCGAGCGUUAAUCGGAAUUACUGGGCGUAAAGCGUGCGCAGGCGGUUAUAUAAGACAGAUGUGAAAUCCCCGGGCUCAACCUGGGACCUGCAUUUGUGACUGUAUAGCUAGAGUACGGUAGAGGGGGAUGGAAUUCCGCGUGUAGCAGUGAAAUGCGUAGAUAUGC